CCUGAAAAGGUAGCAAAGUGUUCUUGAAAAACAAGAGGGGAGAACGAGUGGAUACUGCCAAACAGCUGCAAACUGAACACCCUGCAGUAUAAACAGACCAGAAGCUACAGGCAAACUACAUAACAUGAGGACUGAAUGUGCAACUUGCAGCCCUUAAGAUACUUUCUAGCAAGUCUCUGACUGCCAUUGGAAUUCUGAGAGAUGAUGUAAUUAGCAUCUGGAAGAUUGCACAUUGCUACAGGAAAUAACAUAUAAGCACAUAUCCAUAUAGCACAUAUAACAGCACAUUUAGUUGAAUUUUAUACUUUUUUCACCCUAAUAAUCAAGAACCAAGCGUUAUUUUAAGAAACAGUAGAAGUAGCCUGAACUGCGUAGGGUUGCAGCAACGCAUUACACAUUUCAUACAUCUGUCUCUUAAAAGAGAAAUGUUGUGAAGUAUGACAUAUGUAUUUUUACACUGACACACCAUGUAUUUAUUAUAAACCAAAAAUACUAAAAUGUAGUACCUAUUUUAGCAUAUUGCUUCAAAUAUUUUUUAUACAGUUGUUAGAAUCAAACAUACAUAAUUCAGUUCUACAACCUGAUAUGUUAAGAUGUUAAGCAUGCCAACGAAAUGAAGGUCCCCACCACUGUAAUUAUACAUAUAUACACAUUAUAUACAUAUAUAUAUAUAUAUAUUCUAUACACACACACAUUCCUCCACCCACACAAUCAUUAUAUGAAAUACAUAUCAUUGAUACCAAGAAUUGCCAAUUAAGUAUAUAAUGACACAAGCAAUAUGAGAAUUCAUGCCAAGAAAAGGGUACAUAGGACACAUCUUUAUAGCUUAUAAACACACAUCAGCAGUGCACAUUAUAAAUGGUUUGAUGGAGUAUGAGUCCUCCAUGUUUAGUUCUCUCUACUAAAUUUCCCCUUGGUAACCCCCCUUCCCCCUAGCCUCAGCCUCUCGCUCCCUUCUCUCCUCUCCUCCAUGACUCCCCUCCCCCAACUGUCCCUUUCCAUUGUCUCUCCAUUUUGCGGUGUCCUUCCCAUGUCCAUCUAGGCUUUGGGAAAUGACAAAAUCGCAGAGAUGCUUACAGACACACAGAUAGGGAUCCCUGCUGAGACAGGACAAGGAAGUGCUGAGACAGGCAAGUAGAUGGCAGAGGGACACAGAGCAACGAAUCCCUCAUUCCAGGACACAUCUCCACACAGGCAAAUGAGCAAAGAAGCCAGAUGUAAACCAUAGCUUCCAAUGAGAAGAGACUGCGUAGGAUGUAUCCAUGAGAAUGGCAGGAAGAGCAGCUCCAGAGGAAAUACACAGCAUCUUCAGAGCAAGAAGAGUGCCAUCUACAGACUGACCCUGCAGUACCUAGAAAAGUGGAUUGGGAGAUUAUUGUUUGGGAUCUAGGAGUGUAAGGGAAAUGUUAUAAAGCCAUAUUAUGGUACAAUAAAAUACAUGCCCUUUUAUACACACUUUUGAAAGAUACUAUAUAGUUGUCUAUAUCUCAUUUAUGCGUUACUGUGCCAAAACUGGGAGCAGGAAUUCUAGCAGAAAGAUGCGAUAAAGACAGAUAAAACAUUAAACUGUGUUUGCUUUAAUGACA
This is a long non-coding RNA of Xenopus tropicalis (tropical clawed frog), 1586 nucleotides long. RefSeq lists it as uncharacterized. NCBI's taxonomy places the organism in Eukaryota, Metazoa, Chordata, Amphibia, Anura, Pipidae. The record is from RefSeq and is a predicted model, not a curated record. The transcript has 2 exons.